CAGUAGCCGCGGUAAUACGGAGGAUCCGAGCGUUAUCCGGAAUUAUUGGGUUUAAAGGGUGCGUAGGCGGAUAGAUAAGUCAGUGGUGAAAGACGGUGGCUCAACCAUCGCAGUGCCGUUGAUACUGUUUAUCUUGAAUAUGGAUGAGGUAGGCGGAAUGUGGCAAGUAGCGGUGGAAUGCAUAGAUAUGCCACAGAACACCGAUUGCGAAGGCAGCUUACCAAGGCAAAAUUGACGCUGAGGCACGAAAGCGUGGGGAUCGAACAGGAUUAGAUACCCCUGUAGUCCCUGUCUCUUAUAA
Molecule: ribosomal RNA, 301 nt
Filed under: uncultured bacterium
Lineage: Bacteria
Description: partial 16S ribosomal RNA
Rfam family: Bacterial small subunit ribosomal RNA
Source: RNAcentral